Molecule: ribosomal RNA, 1530 nt
Filed under: uncultured prokaryote
Description: partial 16S ribosomal RNA
Rfam family: Bacterial small subunit ribosomal RNA
Source: RNAcentral
AGAGUUUGAUCCUGGCUCAGAACGAACGCUGGCGGCGUGGAUAAGACAUGCAAGUCGAACGGGAAUCACGAGAAGCUUGCUUUUUGUGAUUCUAGUGGCGGACGGGUGCGUAACACGUGAGCAACCUGCCCAAAAGAGGGGGAUAGCCCGAGGAAACUCGGAUUAAUACCGCGUAUGGUACGGAAAGGCAUCCUUCUAUAAAGGUGGGGAUCACUUCGGUGACCUGCCGCUUUUGGAUGGGCUCGCGGCCUAUCAGCUUGUUGGUGAGGUAAAGGCUCACCAAGGCUACGACGGGUAACUGGUCUGAGAGGACGAUCAGUCACACUGGAACUGAGACACGGUCCAGACACCUACGGGUGGCAGCAGUCGAGAAUCAUUCGCAAUGGGGGAAAGUCUGACGGUGCGACGCCGCGUGGAGGAUGACGGUCUUCGGAUUGUAAACUCCUGUCAUCAGGGAGUAAGGCUGUACUGGUUAAUAACCUUUGCAGUUGAUAGUACCUGAAGAGGAAGAGACGGCUAACUCUGUGCCAGCAGCCGCGGUAAUACAGAGGUCUCAAGCGUUGUUCGGAUUUACUGGGCGUAAAGCGUGCGUAGGCGGCGAGGUAAGUCAGAUGUGAAAGCUCAGGGCUCAACCCCGAAAAUGCAUCCGAUACUGCCUUGCUAGAGUAAUGGAGGGGAGUCUGGAAUUCACGGUGUAGCAGUGAAAUGCGUAGAUAUCGUGAGGAACACUAGUGGCGAAGGCGAGACUCUGGACAUUUACUGACGCUGAGGCACGAAGGCUAGGGUAGCGAAGCGGAUUAGAUACCCGCGUAGUCCUAGCAGUAAACGGUGCACGUUUGGUGUGGGAGGAUUCGACCCCUUCCGUGCCGGAGCUAACGCGUUAAACGUGCCGCCUGGGGAGUACGAUCGCAAGAUUAAAACUCAAAGAAAUUGACGGGGACCCGCACAAGCGGUGGAGUAUGUGGCUUAAUUCGAUGCAACGCGAAGAACCUUACCUGGGCUUGACAUGCUUAUCAUAUCCCUGUGAAAGCAGGGAGUCAGUUCGGCUGGAUUUGCACAGGUGCUGCAUGGCUGUCGUCAGCUCGUGUCGUGAGAUGUUGGGUUAAGUCCCGCAACGAGCGCAACCCCUGUGAAUAGUUGCCAGCACGUAAUGGUGGGGACUCUGUUCAGACGCCGGUGCUUAAACCGGAGGAAGGUGGGGAUGACGUCAAGUCAGUAUGGCCCUUAUGCCCAGGGCUGCACACGUACUACAAUGCUCAGUACAAUGUGAACCGAUACCGCGAGGUGGAGGAAAUCUUGAAAACUGAGCUCAGUUCGGAUUGGAGGCUGCAACUCGCCUCCAUGAAGUCGGAAUCGCUAGUAAUGCCGUAUCAGCUACGACGGCGUGAAUACGUUCCCGGGUCUUGUACACACCGCCCGUCACAUCAUGGAAGUUGGUCGCGCCCGAAGUACCUGCGCCGAUCCCGCUUGCGGGAAGGCAGGGUCCUAAGGUGAGACCGGUAACUGGGAUGAAGUCGUAACAAGGUAACC